GUGCUUGCUUUGAAAGUACAUAUACUAAAAUUGGAAGAAUACAGAGUAGCUUAGCAUGUCCCCUGCACAAGGAUGAAUGCAGAUUUGCAAAAUGCAUAAAUAAUUCAU
This is a non-coding RNA of Canis lupus familiaris (dog), 108 nucleotides long. The record is from Rfam. Lineage: Eukaryota; Metazoa; Chordata; Mammalia; Carnivora; Canidae.